ACGCUCGACACCUACGGGAGGCCGCAGUAGGGAAUCUUCCACAAUGGGCGCAAGCCUGAUGGAGCAACACCGCGUGAGUGAAGAAGGGUUUCGGCUCGUAAAGCUCUGUUGUUGGAGAAGAACGUGCGUGAGAGUAACUGUUCACGCAGUGACGGUAUCCAACCAGAAAGUCACGGCUAACUACGUGCCAACAGCCGCGGUAAUCUGAGCGGGCUGGCAAGGC
This 223-nucleotide ribosomal RNA is filed under the name uncultured bacterium. RNAcentral describes it as "partial 16S ribosomal RNA". It matches the Rfam family "Bacterial small subunit ribosomal RNA", at positions 328 to 539 of the family's 1533-position model. The record is from RNAcentral.